CGAAAGCCUGACGGAGCAAUACCGCGUGAGGGAUGACGGCCUAUGGGUUGUAAACCUCUUUUUUCAGGGAGGAAUAAAUGACGUGUACCUGAAGAAUAAGCAUCGGCUAACUCCGUGCCAGCAGCCGCGGUAAUACGGAGGAGGCAAGCGUUAUCCGGAAUUAUUGGGCGUAAAGAGUCCGUAGGUGGUUCAUCAAGUCUGCUGUUAAAGCGUGCAGCUCAACUGCAUAUAGGCAGUGGAAACUGUUGAACUAGAGUAUGGUAGGGGUAGGGGGAAUUCCCAGUGUAGCGGUGAAAUGCGUAGAUAUUGGAAAGAACACCGAUGGCGAAAGCACUUUACUGGGCUAUUACCAACACUCAGAGACGAAAGCUAGGGUAGCA
This 380-nucleotide ribosomal RNA is filed under the name uncultured cyanobacterium. RNAcentral describes it as "bacterial SSU rRNA". It matches the Rfam family "Bacterial small subunit ribosomal RNA", at positions 376 to 770 of the family's 1533-position model. The record is from RNAcentral. Lineage: Bacteria; Bacillati; Cyanobacteriota.